AAAUUGAAGAGUUUGAUCAUGGCUCAGAUUGAACGCUGGCGGCAGGCCUAACACAUGCAAGUCGAACGGUAACAGGAAACAGCUUGCUGUUUCGCUGACGAGUGGCGGACGGGUGAGUAAUGUCUGGGAAACUGCCUGAUGGAGGGGGAUAACUACUGGAAACGGUAGCUAAUACCGCAUAACGUCGCAAGACCAAAGAGGGGGACCUUCGGGCCUCUUGCCAUCGGAUGUGCCCAGAUGGGAUUAGCUAGUAGGUGGGGUAACGGCUCACCUAGGCGACGAUCCCUAGCUGGUCUGAGAGGAUGACCAGCCACACUGGAACUGAGACACGGUCCAGACUCCUACGGGAGGCAGCAGUGGGGAAUAUUGCACAAUGGGCGCAAGCCUGAUGCAGCCAUGCCGCGUGUAUGAAGAAGGCCUUCGGGUUGUAAAGUACUUUCAGCGGGGAGGAAGGGAGUAAAGUUAAUACCUUUACUCAUUGACGUUACCCGCAGAAGAAGCACCGGCUAACUCCGUGCCAGCAGCCGCGGUAAUACGGAGGGUGCA
RNAcentral lists this ribosomal RNA (546 nucleotides) under Escherichia coli. RNAcentral's name for it is "bacterial SSU rRNA". It matches the Rfam family "Bacterial small subunit ribosomal RNA", at positions 1 to 536 of the family's 1533-position model. Lineage: Bacteria; Pseudomonadati; Pseudomonadota; Gammaproteobacteria; Enterobacterales; Enterobacteriaceae. The record is from RNAcentral.